GCCUACGGGGGGCAGCAGUGGGGAAUAUUGCACAAUGGGGGAAACCCUGAUGCAGCGACGCCGCGUGAAGGAAGAAGUAUUUCGGUAUGUAAACUUCUAUCAGCAGGGAAGAAAGUGACGGUACCUGACUAAGAAGCCCCGGCUAACUACGUGCCAGCAGCCGCGGUAAUACGUAGGGGGCAAGCGUUAUCCGGAUUUACUGGGUGUAAAGGGAGCGUAGGCGGCCAUGCAAGUCAGAAGUGAAAGCCCGGGGCUCAACUCCGGGACUGCUUUUGAAACUGUAUGGAUAGAUUGCAGGACAGGCA
This 305-nucleotide ribosomal RNA is filed under the name uncultured bacterium. RNAcentral describes it as "bacterial SSU rRNA". It matches the Rfam family "Bacterial small subunit ribosomal RNA", at positions 337 to 659 of the family's 1533-position model. The record is from RNAcentral.